GGGGCUAUAGCUCAGUGGCACAGUGCUUGCCUAGGAUGUAUGAGGCACUGGGUUCAAUCCUUAGCACCA
This 69-nucleotide transfer RNA is filed under the name Marmota monax (woodchuck). Its description in RNAcentral is "tRNA.Pro". The record is from RNAcentral. Lineage: Eukaryota; Metazoa; Chordata; Mammalia; Rodentia; Sciuridae.